CGCACCUUGCACCUCUCAGUCUUCUGAAAGGUACACCUGUUUGAGUGUCAUUAAUAUCAUCCACCCUGUGCUUGUUUGCACAGAGAUGGGAACUUGGGAGCUUUGCAGUAAGUCCUUGGACUUCUGCUCUCCUUGAAUGCAUCAGUGAGAAGUGGCAAAAGAAAUAGGGGGUUGACGUGAUAACAUAACCAAACGUCUCUCAACCCUGCAUGUUCUUUGUUCAAUCGUCUUCUUGCUUUCAAACCACACCUCCUCCUGUCAUCCAAUUUGUGCGACGCAUGAAUGGUGGGGGGGACUGUAACAUACAUGACUCUUGAUCUCAAAUCAGGUGGGAUUACCCGCUGAACUUAA
Molecule: unclassified non-coding RNA, 351 nt
Filed under: Scytinostroma sp.
Lineage: Eukaryota; Fungi; Basidiomycota; Agaricomycetes; Russulales; Lachnocladiaceae
Description: partial contains 5.8S ribosomal RNA, internal transcribed spacer 2, and large subunit ribosomal RNA
Source: RNAcentral